RNAcentral lists this ribosomal RNA (253 nucleotides) under uncultured bacterium. RNAcentral's name for it is "partial 16S ribosomal RNA". It matches the Rfam family "Bacterial small subunit ribosomal RNA", at positions 524 to 776 of the family's 1533-position model. The record is from RNAcentral.
UACGUAGGUGGCAAGCGUUGUCCGGAUUUACUGGGCGUAAAGAGCGCGCAGGCGGUCGUGCAAGUCGCGUGUGAAAGCCCCCGGCUCAACUGGGGAGGGUCACGCGAUACUGCUCGACUUGAAGGCAGGAGAGGGAAGUGGAAUUCCCGGUGUAGUGGUGAAAUGCGUAGAUAUCGGGAGGAACACCAGUGGCGAAGGCGGCUUCCUGGCCUGUUCUUGACGCUGAGGCGCGAAAGCUAGGGGAGCAAACGGG